CAUUAUUGUUUUUCCUUCUUAUUUUUGUGUGUUACAGUAGAAAUGCUGGUGAUUCUCCGUGUAUCUUCAUGUCCCCUGUGGAAUCCUGAGCUCCUGCGCUGAGCGUCGCAGGGGCCACGCCCACACCCACUAAAAACCAUUCUUGGACUCCAGCCCUGGGACAUUGGAGCAGUGGAUUGGAUUUGGAUGCCGGAGUCCAGGAUCUCAAAUUGGCCCCCUCAAGUGACCACAGCCACAGCAUCCACUGUGCCCCUUGCAGCAGACAGCAGACUUCAUCUCAUCAGGAUCUUCCAGGAGGAGCAUCAUGUCUGAGCUUCACUUAAGAUGCCCAAAAUGGAGCCACCAGCAACAGGGAAAUUCCUGAGAACACGGCUGUCAGAGGAAAAGUUGUCGAGCCUAUGCCAUUGCAUCCAGUGGACAUGGAGGCACCAGAAUGAACCAGAAAGGAAAGUGAAUUGUCUGACACAACAAGGACCAACUUUGCCCAGUUCAGCAGUCCUUGCCUUACAAAGCACCCCACUUGGGUGAUUUAUGUAUGACACUACAGUCCAGACAAUUACAUGACAGGCAUUCAAGUCUGGAAAUAAAGUGCUUUAAUGUCAGAAGAAGUGUCAUUAUCUCCCAGCUAUUUAUGU
Silurus meridionalis is the source of this 635-nucleotide long non-coding RNA. RefSeq lists it as uncharacterized. NCBI's taxonomy places the organism in Eukaryota, Metazoa, Chordata, Actinopteri, Siluriformes, Siluridae. The record is from RefSeq and is a predicted model, not a curated record. The transcript has 3 exons.